Molecule: ribosomal RNA, 473 nt
Filed under: uncultured bacterium
Lineage: Bacteria
Description: SSU rRNA
Rfam family: Bacterial small subunit ribosomal RNA
Source: RNAcentral
AGGACGAACGCUGGCGGCGUGCUUAACACAUGCAAGUCGAGCGGAAAGGCCCUUCGGGGUACUCGAGCGGCGAACGGGUGAGUAACACGUGAGCAACCUGCCCUUAGCUUCGGGAUAGCUCCGGGAAACCGGAAUUAAUACCGGAUAUGACUAUGGCCGACAUCAGCCAUGGUGGAAAGUUUUUCGGCUAGGGAUGGACUCGCGGCCUAUCAGCUAGUUGGUGAGGUAACGGCUCACCAAGGCGACGACGGGUAGCCGGCCUGAGAGGGCGACCGGCCACACUGGGACUGAGACACGGCCCAGACUCCUACGGGAGGCAGCAGUGGGGAAUAUUGCGCAAUGGGCGAAAGCCUGACGCAGCGACGCCGCGUGGGGGAUGAAUGCCUUCGGGUUGUAAACCCCUUUCAGCAGGGACGAAGCGAAAGUGACGGUACCUGCAGAAGAGCGCCGGCUAACUACGCGCCAGCAGCCGC